AUACGUAGGGGACAAGCGUUGUCCGGAAUCACUGGGCGUAAAGGGCGCGUAGGCGGUUUUAUAAGUCAGAUGUGAAAGGUACCGGCUCAACCGGUGACGUGCAUUUGAAACUGUAAGACUUGAGUACUGGAGAGGCAAGUGGAAUUCCUAGUGUAGCGGUGAAAUGCGAAGAUAUUAGGAGGAACACCGGUGGCGAAGGCGGCUUGCUGGACAGAUACUGACGCUGAGGUGCGAAAGCGUGGGGAGCGAACAGGAUUAGAUACCCUGGUAGUCCACGCCGUAAACGAUGAUGACUAGGUGUUGGGGAAACUCAGUGCCGCAGUUAACACAUUAAGUCAUCCGCCUGGGGAGUACGACCGCAAGGUUGAAACUCAAAGGAAUUGACGGGG
Molecule: ribosomal RNA, 389 nt
Filed under: uncultured bacterium
Lineage: Bacteria
Description: partial 16S ribosomal RNA
Rfam family: Bacterial small subunit ribosomal RNA
Source: RNAcentral